This is a long non-coding RNA of Esox lucius (northern pike), 1553 nucleotides long. NCBI's taxonomy places the organism in Eukaryota, Metazoa, Chordata, Actinopteri, Esociformes, Esocidae. The record is from Ensembl.
GAAAACUGUAGGCCACCUGAAAAUAAGUUUAAACAAGGUAAUAUGAAAUGAACCUAUAGUUUAUGGAGAAAGAAUGCAUUUAUAUUUGGCCAAGUUCACGACUCCUAACGUCUACUAAAAUUUCCUGCAAACAGAAGUCUAAUGAGGGUCUUGUCGACCAACUUGUCGAUACAGUCAAACGGAUAACGACGUGUUACAGUAUCAGCUGGUUGACAGUAUCUUUUUUCUGUACUUAAACACUUGGAAAAUAACUCGGUUAACUAGUAAAACAUGCAAAUAUGUAACAGGAAUAACUUUCACUGUUUGAAGAAAUUACCUGACACGGUUAGGCCUGCCUCAUUCUCGCUGUCCCUGUUCCUGAACACUACAGUAACCGGGCAUCUGAGAGGUCCUCGAUCCUGUCGCCAAGGUAACUACUGACGUUGCUGAAACAUGUGCUGCUCUCAUUACUAACAGGUGUGUAUCACAAUGUUGUGCUCGACCUCUCCAGAAUAUUUAGCAAUGUUUCCGUGGAUUUUCGCCAGUGUAUCGUUCUACAAACACAUUAAGAUAAAGGAAUGAUAUAAUGGGCAAAGGAGUUCUUUGUUACUUCUCAACAUCAAUUACAGUAAUGAGGUCCCAUCCAAGGAUGAUGAUAAAGACUGAGGAUCCGCCCCUUCGAGAGCAUGUCAUCAAGGUCACUUGACCAGAGGAGGAAGUGAUCCGUCCACUGCCAUCAUCACCCUGGUUUGCAAGUCAUCAGAAUGAGUUGUGCCCAGAGGGUGUCAUCCCAGUGGAACAGAGGAAUACACUUCAGUGAUGAGACACAGUCAUGCCAUGGCUGGCAUCUUCACAGUCACAUGAUGAUGUUUACACAAUAACAAUGGGCUUCUUGUGUUUUCUGAGGUGAACAUAUGGAUAUGGAUCAAAUGGUUUUAACAAAAUCUAAUUGGGUACAACACAAAGAUUGUCUGUCUUGCAAGUGUCCCCCCUUUUUAACAUGAAUGUCCAGUCAUUCAUUAAAGAUGAUAAUAAUGGGUGAAAUAUAUUUGUUCCUGAAUUUAAAUAAUGUACAAAAGCAGAAAUGGGAUUGAUGGUACCUCCACAGCCUUUACCUCUGUUACCAAAAAUAAACAAAAUGUUUUUUUCUUGCUGAUUUAACACACAUUGAGCCAUUCAGUUUCUUGUACCUGUAAUGGUUAACAGUUACAAAUGUUUUCAAUAUUCAGACUGGUCUCAAGAAUGUGAUCAUUCUGAUUAUUUCAGGGUUCUUUUAUCCAGGCCAGGUCCACACAGGAUGAACACAUCUUUUACUGUACUUUCGUUAUUGUACUGUACUUGAUCACUGAACGAUGUUCAAUCUUGUAAAAGAUACUUGUGGUAAGCCUCAUUCUUAUUGUAUAAAAUAAUAAAAGGGUGAAAUCUUAAUGCAGUAUAGAGUUUUUGUAUUUGGUAUUUGUUAAUGCUUUCAUGCAACAAUAACACAUAACAGUUGAAAUAUACUGUACCUAACAAGCAAAAGUUGAUGUUAUUUUAAUUAAUUAUAACUCAUAUGACCCCCCAUAUAAUGUAAG